RNAcentral lists this signal recognition particle RNA (314 nucleotides) under Candidatus Bathyarchaeota archaeon. RNAcentral's name for it is "signal recognition particle sRNA". It matches the Rfam family "Archaeal signal recognition particle RNA". The record is from RNAcentral. RNAcentral also lists the same sequence under 1 other name. Lineage: Archaea; Thermoproteati; Candidatus Bathyarchaeota.
UGGCGGGUCUAGGCGGGGGGCUAGGGGUCCUCUGAACCGUAAACCCUCUACACGACGGGCUGAAUGCUUUGGCGAGGCGUAAAAGAUCGUCAGGCAUCCUUGGUCCACUAACAGUGACUAUCCGUCCCUUUAGGCUGGCGGUCAUGGAGCGGUCUUCGUAGGAAGGCUGUUAACCGUGUCCAUCAGGCGAACCUGGCCAGGCCCGGGAGGGAGCAACCUAAGCUUGGACGUUCAGCGCUUAAGGGACAGCGGGUAAGAGUUUAGAGAUCAAGGAAACUGCCGAAAACUAGACGUCGAACCAAGGCGACCCGCCA